AAUUAACAAAACCUAAUUUUUCACUUUAGCAUUUCUCUACCACUUCGUUUGUUGUUGUGACUUUGUUGUCCCUUUUUUUGUCGUCGUGACUACUUCGGCAUUGUUCACCGUCAGUGUGUUCUUGCUGCAUUGGCUUCUCUUCUCAUAUUUUGUUCUCCAUUCUCUUUUUCUUCUCCAUUUUAGUUCUAAGUUUUUUUAUGUCUGCUUUAUUUCAGCUCCACCCUUCACUGCCGUUGUUCAGCUCUACCUCCGGCUCCACCACGGUCAGCUUCCCGUUCCCGCUGCUCCAACACCAUUCAUGGGAGGUAAAGUUUUAAAACUUCAGAUUUUUUUUAUUUUUUUUUGUGUUGUUGUGUGAAUGGAUGUGAUUUGAUUGAGUUUAUGUGACUGUAAACAUAAUUCUGUUGUGAUAAUAAAAAAAUUAAAACAGAAAUGAAACUUUGAAGCUUAAAAGCUUAUGUGCGGGGAAGAAGGUUGUUACGUGUACAAAAUUCAUGGACAAAACGUUAAUUUAAUUUUAGUAAAACUGAAUUACUAAAAGUGAUUUAAUAGGAUUUACAAUUUGAUUAAAACUAAUUUAAUAGAAUUUGAAAGUUAAGGUUUCCUUAAAAAAAUGAAGAGAAUAAAAGGAAGAAAGGUAAUUAAUAAAGAAGGAAAGAUAAUUAAUAAAAGGUUAGGUAAUUAAUAAAAGAAGUAAGAAUUUGUUUUGGAAAAAAAAUUAUUACUAUUUAAAAAUAAUUUAGGAAAUUGUGUUUUUAAUUUUUUUUCAUUAAAUAUCUUGUAAUAAUGUAGAUUUAGAAGUUUUAUUUUAUUUUUUCCAUUGAUUAGGUUUAAUUAAUGGUUAUGUUGUAAUAAUUAAGUACAUUCUAAAUUUAGAAAUUUCAUUUUUUUCCAUUGGUUAUGUUUUAAUAAUAAUUAAAUACAUUUAUAAGUUUUCAUUUUUCCAUUGUGUUUUAAUAAAAUAUUAGUGUUGCGGAGAGUAAACUUUUUCAUUUUUCCAUUGGUUAUUUAAAAAAAAUUAAAAGGUGAUAGGUGUACAAAAUAAAUAGGUGCUGUAGAGAGUAAAAAACAUGGGCAGCAGAUUGGGCCAAGUGUUUUCAAGAAAAUUACAAAUAGUGAUGUGGGGAGUGUAUAAAUUAAAUAGAGGUUGCAUAGAGUAAACGUGAUAGGCAGAAGAAUGGGCCUAUAUUUUUCAUUAAUAUGUUGCAAUUAGUAAUCUGGAGGGUAUAGAAAACAAAUAAGGGUUUCAUAGAGUAAAAGUCUUGGAAAGCAUAAUGGGCCCAUGUUUUUGAAGAAAAUGUUACAAUUAGUGAUGUGGGGGGUGUAUAAAUUAAGUAGGGGCUGCAUAACUUGAACAUUAUUGUAUCCUAUUCGUCUAGGAUUUACAAAUACAAAAUUCUUACACUAACACAAUAACUAAUUACAUGAAUUAGUAUGUUUUAAAUAUUUAACAUACUAAGUUUAAACAAUAAAGUUUACAUGUGACAUAUGUAGUGCAUUGGACCCUGAUAUCCACAUGAUUCAUGUAUUAAAUCGUUUGUAAGGUAUAAGUAUACUAUUAAGUAUUGAAAAUUUCAUCAUCAACAUGCAGAAAAAUGGAUCGAGAUUUUAUGUAUGAAAUGCUUGAUUCUUGAAGAAGAUUGCUUCAUCAACAUGCAGAACAAUGACGUUCAUGCUUUUGUUUCUAAGGCAAUGAAUCAAGUUUCAUACAUACCAGAUGGAGGGGUAAGGUGGUCCGUGUGUGAAAUGUUAUUGUGAGAAAAUUGUCAAACCUUCUCAUGUCAGGAGUCAUCUGCUUCAACAUGGCUUUCAACUCAACUACAAGGUAUGGAUUUCACAAAGAAGCAGGGAAAAAUGAGGUUAACUUAAACAUUGCAUUAAGUGUGAUGAUGACUUUGGGUCAUUAGCCGAAAUGGUGAACAAUGCAUACAUGCAAGAAAGUGAUAUAAGAACUCGUUAUGUCAAUGUUAUCAAGGAUGUAGAACAAGAACCUAACGCUUAAGAACAAAAAUUUUAUGAUAUGUUAAUAUCUACUCAUCAACCCAUUUAUGAUGGAGCAACUUAGUCUAAAUUGUCAAUAGUCGUAAGGUUUUUGGGCUCUAGAACCAAUUGGCACACAACUGAAAAGUGUUUAGAUUAUUUCAUUGAAAUGUUACUUGAUGUAGCUCCAACAGAGAAUUGCAUACCUAAGGCUUAUUAUGAAACAAAAAAAGUUAUCUCUACUCUUGGGUUGAAGGCUGUCAAGAUUGAUUGUUGAGGUUGGAUGCAUGUUGUAUUACAAGGACGACAUCGAAUUAAAUGAGUGCAAAUUUUGUGGCCUUCCCAGGUACUUGCCUCCAAAGGUUCAAAACAAAACAUACAAAAGAGUGUCGAUAAAAAAAUGUUUUAUUUGUCUAUCAUACCAAAAUUUCAAAGAUUGUAUACGUCAAUGAAGUGAGCUAGCCAAAUGCGAUGGCAUUUUGAAAACAUAACUAAUGAUGAUGUUUUGCGUCAUUCAUCUGAUGGGAAAGCUUGGAAAAACUUUAAUAGUGUAUAUCCCGAAUUUGCAGCUGAACCCUGUAUUGUAAGGUUGGGACUGUGAUCUAGUGGAUUCACUCCUUAUGUCCAAGUUUUAGCAUCCCCAUAUUCUUGUUGGUCGGUAUUUGUCACCUCUUAUAACCUACCCCCUGAAAUGUGUAUGACGAAGCCGUACAUGUUUCUAAGUUGUCUCAUAUCUGUUCCUAGUAACCCAACAAAAGAACUAGAUGUAUACUUGCAACCAAUUAUUGAUGACCUCCAAAAUUGUGGUCUGCUAGUGUUUUAACUUAUGACAUAUCAACAAAAGAAAAUUUCGUCAUGCGAACUUGUUUGAUGUGGACAAUUAAUGAUUUUCCAGCAUAUGCGAUGUUGUUUGAGUGGGGGACUAAAGGGAAAUUAGUUUGUCCUUAUUGUAUGGGGGACACAAAAACAUUCACACUAAAGCAUGGAGGUAAAAGUUCCCGGUUUGACUUUCAUGGACGAUUUUUGUCAUCCAAUCAUCCUUUCAAGAGGAGUCAGGGGAGAUUUCUUAAAAAUAGAGUUGAAAUGGAUGGCCCACCUUAUGUCUUAAAUGAAAAUGAAGUAUGGGAGAUUCUUCAUAAUUUCCCAAAAGUGACAGAUGGUCCAUAUUUUGGGAUCUGCCAUUUUAGAAGGACAAAACUUUUUUGAUAAUGUUUUCAACACUGUAAUGGACAUUAAGAACAAAACGAAGGACAAUCAAAAGGCGAGAAUGGAUGUUGUUGAAUUGUGUGUUCGUGGAGACUUGGAGUUGGUUUAAUUACAAAAUGGAAAGUUUACAAAGCCAAAGGCUAACUACACAUAAUUAAAGAAAGAUGCUAAGUCAAUUUACAAAUGGAUCACCAAGUUGGAGAUGCCAGAUGGUUAUGCCUCUAACAUUGCAAGGUGUGAAAACAAAGACAAGGGAAGUAUGCAUGGUAUGAAAAGUCAUGGCUUUCACGUUUUCAUGGAGUGUUUACUACCAAUAUGUUUUCGAUAAUAGCCAGAAUUUGUGUGGAGUGACCUUGCUGACUUAAGUCGAUUCUUUAAAGACAUAUGUUUUAAUACAUUGAGGAUGAAUGAUCUUGUUAGUAUCGUUGGAUGUAUGCCUUUGAAAGGUAAGCAUCAUCUUAAUUAUUUUAAUGUUUAAGAAGGUGUGCAAGUUAUAAUAAUGACUGCUUUGCUUUAGAAUGAUGAGAGAUGCAAAGAAAUUAGUGGGUAAUUUGGCACGAGUAGAAGGAUCAAUAUAUGCAUUCUACCUACAUCGAGAGAUAACAUAUUUUUGCUCUCAUUAUUUCAAACGUGUCAGCUUGUUGUCAAAUAGAAAUUUGAAAAAUGAUCCUAAAACAUUUACGAAUGAGGAAAACCCAUACACAUUGUCAGUUUUGAAUAAAUAUGGACGACCAAGUGGUUCUAACAAAGACUAUUAGUUCAUUGAUGAAGAACAUCGUUCUACCCAUGUUCAUGUCCUCAUCAAUUACGAUAAGGUCAAACGAUUUCUUUAGUAAGUUUAAUUGUACAUAAUUUGAAUUAAAUUAUUGUAGGUUGUAUAAUUCGCUAACAAAUUCAAUCAAUAUUUAAAGAUUGUUCUUAAAAGUGUACUCAAUCAUGACGAAGAUACUUGUAUAGUCAUACAUGCUAAUUUUCCUAAAUGGUUCAAGAGCUACGUAAGUGUAACCUAAACCCAUAUGUGCUUCUUAUUAAAUCGCAAUAAAUUCAAUAAAUGUAAUGCUUUCUUAUCACUAAAACACAGGUUCAUGAUGAAAGGAAUGUAAUGAACCCAAACUUGAAGGGACUUUCUUCGGGACCUAAUUCAAAGACAACAUCAUGGAACAUGUACUUCGUUAAUGGAUAUAAGUUUCAUACAAAGGCAUGGGCUGAUGGUAAGAAAACAAUAAAUAGUGAGUUGUAUGUUAAAUGUGUCACUGGUGGAAGAGAAUACGACUUUUACGAUACAAUUCAUGAUAUAUAUAAAUUGGAGUAUGUUGCUCUCAAUAAAAAGAUCCUGUUAUUCUAUUGUGAAUGGUUUGAUCUUACAUUUAAUGUUGGGACUAGAUUUCAUUCACAAUAUAAUCUAGUUGAAAUCAAGUUAAGUGGAAGAUAUGGGCUCUAUGAUCCAUUUAUUCUUCCAAAGAAGGUCAAACAAGUUUAUUAUGUCACUUAUCCAAACAGUUGUAAAAACCUUCAUGGAUGGUGCAUUCCAAUUAAAACAAAACCCCAAGGACAUCUUCAAGUUGACAACAUCAACGAUGAAUUGCCGUAUCAAGUUGAUGAGACGUCUAAUGUGUUACCAGUUACAAGAAUUGAACAUUUACAAUGUUUAGCUGACACAUCUAAUGUCAAUGUAGUUCAUGACGAUGAUGAUAUUGAAGCACAUAAUAAUGACGAUGAUGAAGAUGUUGACCUCUUAAAUGAAGAUUAUUCGAAACAUCACAUAGACAAUGACGAUUCAGAGUUUGAUAACAAUGAUGACUGAUGUCUAUUACUUUUAAUAAACUAUAAACAAACAUAUCAUCAUUACAUAAUUAUGCUAAUAUUAUGAACAAAUAAUUUUCAGGAAAAAUGGUUAGGACUAGAGGGAGGGAUGGUUCCAUUGUUAGGCGUGGCUAGCCGAGACGUGGAGUUUCUACAUCGAUGCACGGUCAGCUAGCUAUAGACCUAGGAAGCAUCCCUUAUUCUGGUAUAUUUUAUCCCAUUCCUUGACACCGUCUUCUAGCCCGUCUUCCUCUACCCACUUCUCCUCUGACCAUGGACCAUUUUGGUAUGCUUAUCCACACACCACUAUAUCACCUCAUCACACACAUAUUUCAUCAUCUUCACACCCUCCUAGUAUUCCAAAACCACUAGGGUCAUCAUUCUCUAUUCCGACUUACCAUCAGAGUGUCCCUGCACCACUCCACCAGACUUGGAGUUUUUCACUCCAGCCUAUCCCUGGUACAUUUUUGCAGCCCA
RNAcentral lists this long non-coding RNA (5466 nucleotides) under Phaseolus vulgaris (common bean). RNAcentral describes it as "long non-coding RNA (PVUL_LNC005122)". Lineage: Eukaryota; Viridiplantae; Streptophyta; Magnoliopsida; Fabales; Fabaceae. The record is from RNAcentral.